Non-coding RNA from Hordeum vulgare subsp. vulgare (domesticated barley), 136 nucleotides. The record is from Rfam. Lineage: Eukaryota; Viridiplantae; Streptophyta; Magnoliopsida; Poales; Poaceae.
UAGAUACUUCCUCCGUCCAAAAAUUAUUGUCUUAGCUUUGCGUAAAAAUGGAUGUAUCUAAAUACUAAAACUUGACUAGAUACAUUUAUAUUUAAACAAAUCUGACACAAAUUUUUUGAGACGGAGGGAGUAUAUG